UGGGGAAUAUUGCACAAUGGAGGGAACUCUGAUGCAGCGACGCCGCGUGAACGAAGAAGGUUUUCGAGUCGUAAAGUUCUUUUAUAUGGGAAGAUAAUGACGGUACCAUAAGAAGAAGCCCCGGCUAACUACGUGCCAGCAGCCGCGGUAAUACGUAGGGGGCUAGCGUUGUCCGGAAUCACUGGGCGUAAAGGGUUCGCAGGCGGAAAUGCAAGUCAGGUGUAAAAGGCAGUAGCUUAACUACUGUAAGCAUUUGAAACUGCAUAUCUUGAGAAGAGUAGAGGUAAGUGGAAUUUUUAGUGUAGCGGUGAAAUGCGUAGAUAUUAAAAAGAAUACCGGUGGCGAAGGCGACUUACUGGGCUCAUUCUGACGCUGAGGAACGAAAGCGUGGGUAGCAAACAGG
This 403-nucleotide ribosomal RNA is filed under the name bacterium. Its description in RNAcentral is "partial 16S ribosomal RNA". It matches the Rfam family "Bacterial small subunit ribosomal RNA", at positions 355 to 776 of the family's 1533-position model. The record is from RNAcentral.